This 549-nucleotide ribosomal RNA is filed under the name uncultured Glomeromycotina. Its description in RNAcentral is "SSU rRNA". It matches the Rfam family "Eukaryotic small subunit ribosomal RNA", at positions 548 to 1098 of the family's 1831-position model. The record is from RNAcentral. Lineage: Eukaryota; Fungi; Glomeromycota.
UUGGAGGGCAAGUCUGGUGCCAGCAGCCGCGGUAAUUCCAGCUCCAAUAGCGUAUAUUAAAGUUGUUGCAGUUAAAAAGCUCGUAGUUGAAUUUCGGGAUCAAUUUAUUGGUCGUGCCAACGGUACGCACUGGUACAAUUGGUUUCUCCCUUCUGACGAAGCAUGAUGUCAUUAAUUUGAUGUCGUGGGGAAUCAGGACUGUUACUUUGAAAAAAUUAGAGUGUUUAAAGCAGGCUUUGGCUUGAAUACAUUAGCAUGGAAUAAUGAAAUAGGACGUUUGAUCUUAUUUCGUUGGUUUCUAAGAUCGACGUAAUGAUUAAUAGGGAUAGUUGGGGGCAUUAGUAUUCAAUUGUCAGAGGUGAAAUUCUUGGAUUUAUUGAAGACUAACUACUGCGAAAGCAUUUGCCAAGGAUGUUUUCAUUAAUCAAGAACGAAAGUUAGGGGAUCGAAGACGAUCAGAUACCGUCGUAGUCUUAACCAUAAACUAUGCCGACUAGGGAUCGGACGAUGUUAAUUUUUUAAUAACUCGUUCGGCGCCUUACGGGAAAC